GACGAACGCUGGCGGCGUGCCUAAUACAUGCAAGUUGAGCGCUGAAGGUUGGUACUUGUACCAACUGGAUGAGCAGCGAACGGGUGAGUAACGCGUGGGGAAUCUGCCUUGGAGCGGGGGACAACAUUUGGAAACGAAUGCUAAUACCGCAUAAAAACUUUAAACACAAGUUUUAAGUUUGAAAGAUGCAAUUGCAUCACUCAAAGAUGAUCCCGCGUUGUAUUAGCUAGUUGGUGAGGUAAAGGCUCACCAAGGCGAUGAUACAUAGCCGACCUGAGAGGGUGAUCGGCCACAUUGGGACUGAGACACGGCCCAAACUCCUACGGGAGGCAGCAGUAGGGAAUCUUCGGCAAUGGACGAAAGUCUGACCGAGCAACGCCGCGUGAGUGAAGAAGGUUUUCGGAUCGUAAAACUCUGUUGGUAGAGAAGAACGUUGGUGAGAGUGGAAAGCUCAUCAAGUGACGGUAACUACCCAGAAAGGGACGGCUAACUACGUG
Molecule: ribosomal RNA, 497 nt
Filed under: uncultured bacterium
Lineage: Bacteria
Description: partial 16S ribosomal RNA
Rfam family: Bacterial small subunit ribosomal RNA
Source: RNAcentral